UACGUAGGGGGCUAGCGUUGUCCGGAAUCAUUGGGCGUAAAGAGCGUGUAGGCGGUUCAGUAAGUCUGCUGUGAAAGUCCAAGGCCCAACCUUGGGAUGCCGGUGGAUACUGCUGGGCUAGAGUACGGAAGAGGCGAGUGGAAUUCCCGGUGUAGCGGUGAAAUGCGCAGAUAUCGGGAAGAACACCCGUGGCGAAGGCGGCACUCUGGGACGGUACUGACGCUGAGACGCGAAAGCGUGGGGAGCGAACAGG
RNAcentral lists this ribosomal RNA (253 nucleotides) under uncultured bacterium. Its description in RNAcentral is "partial 16S ribosomal RNA". It matches the Rfam family "Bacterial small subunit ribosomal RNA", at positions 524 to 776 of the family's 1533-position model. The record is from RNAcentral.